GACGCCACUUCAAGUGCCAAGGCCCAAUGCUGUGCAAUCCUGGGAGCUGUAGUUUUAUGUGGGUGAUUUAUCUUGCUGCAAAUGAGUCAGAAGGAGACAAACAGAAGAGGGGAAAAUUACAAAGAUUUCUAACCCUUGUACUUUUAGUAUACAUUAAUAUGUGGGCAAAACCCAAGCAUCUUACAGUCUGCUGCAAUUUUUAUUCCAAACAUACAAAAGGCCGUAGAUCUGGCCAAAACAGAUAAGAUCAAAAGCUUGGUAUGAUAUCGAAUAUUAAAUAUCAAUAUCUGAUCUGUUGUCAGAAUUUAGUUGUCAGUGUCUUGUGCAUGUGCAUAGAAAUUAUUGGUUUUUUUUGCAGAAUAUAAACAUUCUGUUCAGGUUUGCAGCAGAGAAAUUACACACACCAUGCCACUGCCCAUUGUGUUGGUUUUUUGGGUAGUUAACUGUGUUGCAGUUUUGGUUUCACAUUCAGUUUUUCAUUUGAUUCCCACUGAACACAAGAGUUGCAGCACUAUCAAUACAGAUAGUCCCCAAGUUACAAAUAAGAUAGGUUCUGUAGGUUUGUUCUUAAAUUGAAUUUGUAUGUAAGUCAGAAUAGGUGCAUUUUUAAGUGUAAUAUAUACAUAUAUUAAGCUAGUAUAGGGAAGCGUUAAAUCUCCUGUGGGUUUUUUUCUUUUUGCUGUCUCUGCCCCUGUUUAGGAAAUUUCACCUCACUUCCUAUCACUGUGAGAACUGGAUUUUGAAAAAAUUGGCUUGUUGUGGAAACAAGGAUUGGGGAUAAAACGUUAGUAGACACACCUUUUCCUCAUGAUCACUCUUCCAGCAGUGAAUUUCCCUGGGCUUUAGGCAGCAGUAACUGAAGAUGCUAAGGAUUGAACAUGGGAUCAUCUAUAUAUAUAAAAGGGUAAUGACAUUUUGGCCUAGGACAAAACAACAAAACUACACAUCCCAGAAACACUAAACUUGGCAGCACAACCCCUCAUCCAUGCCUCUACAUUCAUACAACAAAAAGAAAAGAAAAAUAAAGUCCUAAUUAGAGGGAGAAGAAUAAUUGUUUUUAUCCAAUUGCUGCCAGUUAGAAGGCUAAGCUCCACCCACUUGGUUUCCUAGCAACCCACUCAGCCCAGGGGACAGGCAGAGUUAGGCCUCACUUAGGCCUCUUCCGCACUGCCUAUAAAAUACAGAUUAUCAAAUUCUAACUGGAUUACAGUAUAUGGCAGUGUAGAUUCAAGGCCCUUCCACAUAGCUCUAUAACCCAUUUAUAAUCUUAUAUUAUCUGCUUUGAACUGGAUUAUCUUGAGUCCACACUGCCAUAUAAUCCACUUCAGUGUGCAUUUUAUAGAGGUGUGUAGAAGGGGCCUCAUAUAAUCCAGUUCUAAGCAGAUAAUAUAAGAUUAUAAAUAUAAUAUGUAAUAAUAACUAUGAUAUAAUAAUACAGAACAAUAUAAUCUCUAAAAUCAGGACAGUAAAUAAAGAACAACACUCUGAAAGCAUAAGCCACAGCAACGCGUGGCCAGGCAAAGCUAGUCUGCAUAUAAAGUAUUGUGUUGCCAUUGAAGUUCAGCUCCUCAUCCGCCACUAGCUCUUUAAGAGACAGCUAGAGAGAUUUCACAGUUCAGAACUAGCACAUGUUGAUCCACAAAAGACCUUCAAG
Anolis carolinensis (green anole) is the source of this 1654-nucleotide long non-coding RNA. The record is from Ensembl. NCBI's taxonomy places the organism in Eukaryota, Metazoa, Chordata, Lepidosauria, Squamata, Anolidae.